This 252-nucleotide ribosomal RNA is filed under the name uncultured bacterium. Its description in RNAcentral is "partial 16S ribosomal RNA". It matches the Rfam family "Bacterial small subunit ribosomal RNA", at positions 525 to 776 of the family's 1533-position model. The record is from RNAcentral.
ACGGGGGGGGCAAGCGUUGUUCGGAAUUACUGGGCGUAAAGGGCUCGUAGGCGGCCUUCUAAGUCAGACGUGAAAUCCCCCGGCUUAACCUGGGAACUGCGUCUGAUACUGGGAGGCUUGAGUAUGGGAGAGGGAUGUAGAAUUCCAGGUGUAGCGGUGAAAUGCGUAGAUAUCUGGAGGAAUACCGGUGGCGAAGGCAGGUCUCUGGGCCACUACUGACGCUGAUAAGCGAAAGCAUGGGGAGCGAACAGG